RNAcentral lists this ribosomal RNA (2875 nucleotides) under Morganella morganii F675. RNAcentral's name for it is "bacterial LSU rRNA". It matches the Rfam family "Bacterial large subunit ribosomal RNA". Lineage: Bacteria; Pseudomonadati; Pseudomonadota; Gammaproteobacteria; Enterobacterales; Morganellaceae. The record is from RNAcentral.
AGCGUACACGGUGGAUGCCUAGGCAGUCAGAGGCGAUGAAGGACGUGCUAAUCUGCGAUAAGCGCCGGUAAGGUGAUAUGAACCGUUAUAACCGGCGAUUUCCGAAUGGGGAAACCCAGUGCAAUUCGUUGCACUAUCAUUACCUGAAUACAUAGGGUAAUGAAGCGAACCGGGAGAACUGAAACAUCUAAGUACCCCGAGGAAAAGAAAUCAAACGAGAUUCCCCCAGUAGCGGCGAGCGAACGGGGAGCAGCCCAGGACCUUAAUCAGCAUCAGUGUUAAGAGAACAGUCUGGAAAGGCUGGCCACAGCAGGUGAUAGCCCUGUAUCUGAAAGCACUGGUGUUGUGAGUCCGAUGAGUAAGGCGGGACACGUGUUAUCCUGUCUGAAUACGGGGGGACCAUCCUCCAAGGCUAAAUACUCCUGACUGACCGAUAGUGAACCAGUACCGUGAGGGAAAGGCGAAAAGAACCCCGGCGAGGGGAGUGAAAAAGAACCUGAAACCGUGUACGUACAAGCAGUGGGAGCACCCUUCGGGGUGUGACUGCGUACCUUUUGUAUAAUGGGUCAGCGACUUAUAUUCUGUAGCAAGGUUAACCGGAUAGGGGAGCCGCAGGGAAACCGAGUCUUAACUGGGCGAAUUAGUUGCAGGGUAUAGACCCGAAACCCGGUGAUCUAGCCAUGGGCAGGUUGAAGGUUGGGUAACACUAACUGGAGGACCGAACCGACUAAUGUUGAAAAAUUAGCGGAUGACUUGUGGCUGGGGGUGAAAGGCCAAUCAAACCGGGAGAUAGCUGGUUCUCCCCGAAAGCUAUUUAGGUAGCGCCUCGUGAAUUCAUCUCCGGGGGUAGAGCACUGUUUCGGCUAGGGGGUCAUCCCGACUUACCAACCCGAUGCAAACUGCGAAUACCGGAGAAUGUUAUCACGGGAGACACACGGCGGGUGCUAACGUUCGUCGUGAAGAGGGAAACAACCCAGACCGCCGGCUAAGGUCCCAAAGUCAUAAUUAAGUGGGAAACGAAGUGGGAAGGCUCAGACAGCCAGGAUGUUGGCUUAGAAGCAGCCAUCAUUUAAAGAAAGCGUAAUAGCUCACUGGUCGAGUCGGCCUGCGCGGAAGAUGUAACGGGGCUAAAUUAUGCACCGAAGCCGCGGCAGCGAUAUGUAAAUAUUGUUGGGUAGGGGAGCGUUCUGUAAGCCUGUGAAGGUGACCUGUGAGGGUUGCUGGAGGUAUCAGAAGUGCGAAUGCUGACAUAAGUAACGAUAAUGCGGGUGAAAAACCCGCACGCCGGAAGACCAAGGGUUCCUGUCCAACGUUAAUCGGGGCAGGGUGAGUCGACCCCUAAGGCGAGGCUGAAAAGCGUAGUCGAUGGGCAACGGGUUAAUAUUCCCGUACUGGUGGUAACUGCGAAGGGGGGACGGAGAAAGCUAAAUCAUCCGGGCGACGGUUGUCCCGGUUUAAGCGUGCAGGUGGACUGACCAGGCAAAUCCGGUCGGUUGUUAACACUGAGGCGUGACGACGAGCCACUACGGUGGUGAAGUGAUUGAUGCUCUGCUUCCGGGAAAAGCCUCUAAGCUCCAGGUUACCAUUAAUCGUACCCCAAACCGACACAGGUGGUCAGGUAGAGAAUACUCAGGCGCUUGAGAGAACUCGGGUGAAGGAACUAGGCAAAAUGGUGCCGUAACUUCGGGAGAAGGCACGCUGGCAUUAGGUGAAGUGGUUUACCCAUGGAGCUGAAGCCAGCCGCAGAUACCAGCUGGCUGCAACUGUUUAUUAAAAACACAGCACUGUGCAAACACGAAAGUGGACGUAUACGGUGUGACGCCUGCCCGGUGCCGGAAGGUUAAUUGAUGAGGUCAGCCGCAAGGCGAAGCUUCUGAUCGAAGCCCCGGUAAACGGCGGCCGUAACUAUAACGGUCCUAAGGUAGCGAAAUUCCUUGUCGGGUAAGUUCCGACCUGCACGAAUGGCGUAAUGAUGGCCAGGCUGUCUCCACCCGAGACUCAGUGAAAUUGAACUCGCUGUGAAGAUGCAGUGUACCCGCGGCUAGACGGAAAGACCCCGUGAACCUUUACUAUAGCUUGACACUGAACAUUGAGCCUUGAUGUGUAGGAUAGGUGGGAGGCAAUGAAGUGUGGACGCCAGUCUGCAUGGAGCCAACCUUGAAAUACCACCCUUUAACGUUUGAUGUUCUAACUUGGUCCCGUAAUCCGGGAUGAGGACAGUGUCUGGUGGGUAGUUUGACUGGGGCGGUCUCCUCCCAAAGAGUAACGGAGGAGCACGAAGGUUGGCUAAGCAUGGUCGGACAUCAUGCGGUUAGUGCAAAGGCAUAAGCCAGCUUGACUGCGAGAGUGACGGCUCGAGCAGGUACGAAAGUAGGUCUUAGUGAUCCGGUGGUUCUGAAUGGAAGGGCCAUCGCUCAACGGAUAAAAGGUACUCCGGGGAUAACAGGCUGAUACCGCCCAAGAGUUCAUAUCGACGGCGGUGUUUGGCACCUCGAUGUCGGCUCAUCACAUCCUGGGGCUGAAGUAGGUCCCAAGGGUAUGGCUGUUCGCCAUUUAAAGUGGUACGCGAGCUGGGUUUAGAACGUCGUGAGACAGUUCGGUCCCUAUCUGCCGUGGGCGCUGGAAGAUUGAGAGGGGUUGCUCCUAGUACGAGAGGACCGGAGUGAACGCACCACUGGUGUACGGGUUGUGAUGCCAAUUGCAUUGCCCGGUAGCUAAGUGCGGAAGAGAUAACCGCUGAAAGCAUCUAAGCGGGAAGCCUCCCUCAAGAUGAGUUUUCCCUGACUCCAUGCCGAACUCAGAAGUGAAACGCCGUAGCGCCGAUGGUAGUGUGGGGUCUCCCCAUGUGAGAGUAGGGAACCGCCAGGUUAUUAUU